GAGUGAACGCUGGCGGCGUGCCUAAUACAUGCAAGUCGAACGAUGAAGCUUCUAGCUUGCUAGAAUGUGGAUUAGUGGCGCACGGGUGAGUAACGCAUAGGUUAUGUGCCUCUUAGUUUGGGAUAGCCAUUGGAAACGAUGAUUAAUACCAGAUACUCCCUACGGGGGAAAGAUUUAUCGCUAAGAGAUCAGCCUAUGUCCUAUCAGCUUGUUGGUAAGGUAAUGGCUUACCAAGGCUAUGACGGGUAUCCGGCCUGAGAGGGUGAACGGACACACUGGAACUGAGACACGGUCCAGACUCCUACGGGAGGCAGCAGUAGGGAAUAUUGCUCAAUGGGGGAAACCCUGAAGCAGCAACGCCGCGUGGAGGAUGAAGGUUUUAGGAUUGUAAACUCCUUUUGUUAGAGAAGAUAAUGACGGUAUCUAACGAAUAAGCACCGGCUAACUCCGUGCCAGCAGCCGCGGUAAUACGGAGGGUGCAAGCGUUACUCGGAAUCACUGGGCGUAAAGAGCGCGUAGGCGGGAUAGUCAGUCAGGUGUGAAAUCCUAUGGCUUAACCAUAGAACUGCAUUUGAAACUACUAUUCUAGAGUGUGGGAGAGGUAGGUGGAAUUCUUGGUGUAGGGGUAAAAUCCGUAGAGAUCAAGAGGAAUACUCAUUGCGAAGGCGACCUGCUGGAACAUUACUGACGCUGAUUGCGCGAAAGCGUGGGGAGCAAACAGGAUUAGAUACCCUGGUAGUCCACGCCCUAAACGAUGGAUGCUAGUUGUUGGAGGGCUUAGUCUCUCCAGUAAUGCAGCUAACGCAUUAAGCAUCCCGCCUGGGGAGUACGGUCGCAAGAUUAAAACUCAAAGGAAUAGACGGGGACCCGCACAAGCGGUGGAGCAUGUGGUUUAAUUCGAAGAUACACGAAGAACCUUACCUAGGCUUGACAUUGAGAGAAUCCGCUAGAAAUAGUGGAGUGUCUGGCUUGCCAGACCUUGAAAACAGGUGCUGCACGGCUGUCGUCAGCUCGUGUCGUGAGAUGUUGGGUUAAGUCCCGCAACGAGCGCAACCCCCUUUCUUAGUUGCUAACAGGUUAUGCUGAGAACUCUAAGGAUACUGCCUCCGUAAGGAGGAGGAAGGUGGGGACGACGUCAAGUCAUCAUGGCCCUUACGCCUAGGGCUACACACGUGCUACAAUGGGGUGCACAAAGAGAAGCAAUACUGCGAAGUGGAGCCAAUCUUCAAAACGCCUCUCAGUUCGGAUUGUAGGCUGCAACUCGCCUGCAUGAAGCUGGAAUCGCUAGUAAUCGCAAAUCAGCCAUGUUGCGAUGAAUACGUUCCCGGGUCUUGUACUCACCGCCCGUCACACCAUGGGAGUUGUGUUUGCCUUAAGUCAGGAUGCUAAACUAGCUACUGCCCACGGCACACACAGCGACUGGGGUGAAGUCGUAACAAGGUAACCGUAGGUGAACC
This 1457-nucleotide ribosomal RNA is filed under the name Helicobacter pylori. Its description in RNAcentral is "bacterial SSU rRNA". It matches the Rfam family "Bacterial small subunit ribosomal RNA". The record is from RNAcentral. Lineage: Bacteria; Pseudomonadati; Campylobacterota; Epsilonproteobacteria; Campylobacterales; Helicobacteraceae.